GAAGGCAGAUCUCUGGGCCGUAACUGACGCUGAGGAGCGAAAGGGUGGGGAGCAAACAGGCUUAGAUACCCUGGUAGUCCACCCCGUAAACGUUGGGAACUAGUUGUGGGGUCCUUUCCACGGAUUCCGUGACGUAGCUAACGCAUUAAGUUCCCCGCCUGGGGAGUACGGCCGCAAGGCUAAAACUCAAAGGAAUUGACGGGGACCCGCACAAGCGGCGGAGCAUGCGGAUUAAUUCGAUGCAACGCGAAGAACCUUACCAAGGCUUGACAUACACCAGAACGGGCCAGAAAUGGUCAACUCUUUGGACACUGGUGUACAGGUGGUGCAUGGUUGUCGUCAGCUCGUGUCGUGAGAUGUUGGGUUAAGUCCCGCAACGAGCGCAACCCUCGUUCUAUGUUGCCAGCACGUAAUGGUGGGAACUCAUGGGAUACUGCCGGGGUCAACUCGGAGGAAGGUGGGGAUGACGUCAAAUCAUCAUGCCCCUUAUGUCUUGGGCUUCACGCAUGCUACAAUGGCCGGUACAAAGGGCUGCGAUACCGUGAGGUGGAGCGAAUCCCAAAAAGCCGGUCCCAGUUCGGAUUGAGGUCUGCAACUCGACCUCAUGAAGUCGGAGUC
This 618-nucleotide ribosomal RNA is filed under the name actinomycete C1oB4. RNAcentral's name for it is "bacterial SSU rRNA". It matches the Rfam family "Bacterial small subunit ribosomal RNA", at positions 717 to 1333 of the family's 1533-position model. The record is from RNAcentral. Lineage: Bacteria; Bacillati; Actinomycetota; Actinomycetes; Actinomycetales.